CAGAUUUUGGGGGGCCUGUUCCCAACAAUGGGGAUCUUGGAGAAACUCGAGGGAAGCAGUUUGAAUAUGUCAUCCCACUGCCUUUGGCCUUCAUAGCUUCUGGCCCAGGAAAGGGAAGAAUUACAUGAAGACACAUGGAGAGGGGAGCCAAGGGGAGAGGUUCAGAAGAAACAAAGCCUGCUGAUAUCUUGAUCUUGGGGUCUAACCUCCAGAACGGUGAUGAAAUGUCUGUUAUUUAAGCCAUUCGGUCUGUGGUAUUGGUGACAACAGUCUAAGCAGACUAAUGCAAGCCCUGACACAGACUUUAUGCAAUUUAAUUCUCUUUUCUCAGUCAUGAUUUUCUCCUCUGUAAUAAGCUCUAAUUAUCAGUGAUGAAAAUUAAAUGUGUAAAUGUGUACAUUAUUGUUUAAAGACAAGUAAAGAAAACCAACACCCUUGUUUUUGUUUAACGGAUCUACCUAUUUUUAGGAAAUGUUUAAGCAGAUGUGGAUUUUUUUUUUAACACAAUAAAAUACUAUCCUUUUCUCAGCUCUUUUAAAAAAUACAUACCUAUUUUCUGAGAAGACAUUUUCACUUGGUUGAAUGAUGUUUAAUCCAG
Molecule: long non-coding RNA, 598 nt
Filed under: Homo sapiens (human)
Lineage: Eukaryota; Metazoa; Chordata; Mammalia; Primates; Hominidae
Description: HSALNT0361975
Source: RNAcentral